This 253-nucleotide ribosomal RNA is filed under the name uncultured bacterium. Its description in RNAcentral is "partial 16S ribosomal RNA". It matches the Rfam family "Bacterial small subunit ribosomal RNA", at positions 524 to 776 of the family's 1533-position model. The record is from RNAcentral.
UACGAAGGGGGCUAGCGUUGCUCGGAAGCACUGGGGGUAAAGGGUGCGUAGGCGGGUCGUUAAGUCAGGGGUGAAAUACUGGAGCUCAACUCCAGAACUGCCCUUGAUACUGAGGGUCUUGAGUAUGGGAGAGGUGAGUGGAACUGCGAGUGUAGAGGUGAAAUUCGUAGAUAUUAGGAAGAACACCAGUGGCGAAGGCGGCUCACUGGUCCGGUACUGACGCUGAGGUGCGAAAGCGUGGGGAGCAAACAGG